Molecule: long non-coding RNA, 577 nt
Organism: Zalophus californianus (California sea lion)
Lineage: Eukaryota; Metazoa; Chordata; Mammalia; Carnivora; Otariidae
Exons: 3
Source: RefSeq, a predicted model, not a curated record
GGCUCUGUGGAGGGAAAAGGAAAACAAGAAGAAUUUCAAUGAUGAAGGCCCCAGAUGAAGGGAGUGCUCUUAAUUUCUGAGCUUUUGUGAAGUGACAUUUCCAAGUCUGUAGUCCAUUUAUUGCUAUGUUCUGGCAGACUCUCACCAGGUGUUUUUCAACGAAGCACUAAACUUCCCCUCGUCGACUCCAAAAGGAAACCUUCAGGCACGUAUACGAGUCCCUCAUUAGCACUCGUCAGUGGCAACCAUUAUGGAAAGACCUGCUCAUAACCACUGAGUGUCAAGUCCUUAAUAGCAAAGCCUGGCUCUUCAUUAACCAGUAAACUUACUGAUUUACCGAGAGAUGUCUUUGCUUUUCUUGGAAUUUUUUCACCCACGUCUUAUCCAAGUGCCAACACCAUUUCCAGAAAAAUGGAAUGGAGCGGGGGAUUUAGAAAGCCUCUGCUGAUUAAUCCAUCAUAUUCUGACAACUGAAUUCCCAGAAACAGAGUAUCAGACUUUCGCAUAAAGUGUCAUUUUGACUGGAAUCUUUCAAGUUCAAGGCUCUGAAGUCCUCAGAGGAAGACUGCCCCAUAGU